RNAcentral lists this ribosomal RNA (565 nucleotides) under Halorubrum sp. RNAcentral describes it as "bacterial SSU rRNA". It matches the Rfam family "Archaeal small subunit ribosomal RNA", at positions 315 to 879 of the family's 1478-position model. Lineage: Archaea; Methanobacteriati; Methanobacteriota; Halobacteria; Halobacteriales; Haloferacaceae. The record is from RNAcentral.
UCCGGGCCCUACGGGGCGCAGCAGGCGCGAAACCUUUACACUGCACGACAGUGCGAUAGGGGGAUCCCAAGUGCACAGGCAUAGCGCCUGUGCUUUUCGGUACCGUAAGGUGGUGCCAGAAUAAGGGCUGGGCAAGACCGGUGCCAGCCGCCGCGGUAAUACCGGCAGCCCAAGUGAUGGCCGAUCUUAUUGGGCCUAAAGCGUCCGUAGCUGGCCGCGCAAGUCCAUCGGGAAAUCCACCUGCUCAACAGGUGGGCGCCCGGUAGAAACUGCGUGGCUUGGGACCGGAAGGCGCGACGGGUACGUCCGGGGUAGGAGUGAAAUCCCGUAAUCCUGGACGGACCGCCGAUGGCGAAAGCACGUCGCGAGAACGGAUCCGACAGUGAGGGACGAAAGCCAGGGUCUCGAACCGGAUUAGAUACCCGGGUAGUCCUGGCCGUAAACAAUGCCUGCUAGGUGUGGCUCCCACUACGAGUGGGUGCUGUGCCGUAGGGAAGCCGCUAAGCAGGCCGCCUGGGAAGUACGUCCGCAAGGAUGAAACUUAAAGGAAUUGGCGGGGGAGCAC